Molecule: ribosomal RNA, 253 nt
Filed under: uncultured bacterium
Lineage: Bacteria
Description: partial 16S ribosomal RNA
Rfam family: Bacterial small subunit ribosomal RNA
Source: RNAcentral
UACGUAGGGUGCAAGCGUUGUCCGGAAUUAUUGGGCGUAAAGAGCUCGUAGGCGGUUCGUCGCGUCGGCUGUGAAAUCCCGAGGCUCAACCUCGGGUCUGCAGUCGAUACGGGCGGACUGGAGUUCGGCAGGGGAGACUGGAAUUCCUGGUGUAGCGGUGGAAUGCGCAGAUAUCAGGAGGAACACCGAUGGCGAAGGCAGGUCUCUGGGCCACUACUGACGCUGAGAAGCGAAAGCAUGGGGAGCGAACAGG